UUUAGAAUUCCUACGCUUUACCGUGAUUUGUUGAAAGUUUGGCAAAGCGUUUGGGUUCUGAAAC
Molecule: microRNA precursor, 64 nt
Filed under: Aedes aegypti (yellow fever mosquito)
Lineage: Eukaryota; Metazoa; Arthropoda; Insecta; Diptera; Culicidae
Description: Aae-Mir-927-P1_pre stem-loop
Rfam family: mir-927 microRNA precursor family
Source: RNAcentral